AAAUGAAUUGACGGGGGCCCGCACAAGCGGUGGAGCAUGUGGUUUAAUUCGAUGCAACGCGAAGAACCUUACCGGGUCUUGACAUCCAACGAAUCUGGUGGAAACAUCGGAGUGCUCUUCGGAGAACGUUGAGACAGGUGGUGCAUGGUUGUCGUCAGCUCGUGUCGUGAGAUGUUGGGUUAAGUCCCGCAACGAGCGCAACCCCUGCUGUUAGUUGCUAACAGGUUAAGCUGAGCACUCUAGCAGGACUGCCGGUGACAAACCGGAGGAAGGUGGGGAUGACGUCAAAUCAUCAUGCCCUUUAUGAUCCGGGCUACACACGUGCUACAAUGGUCGGUACAGAGAGCAGCGAGACCGCGAGGUUUAGCAAAUCUCACAAAGCCGAUCACAGUUCGGAUUGCAGGCUGCAACUCGCCUGCAUGAAGUCGGAAUCGCUAGUAAUCGCGAAUCAGAAUGUCGCGGUGAAUUCGUUCCCGGGCCUUGUACACACCGCCCGU
This 497-nucleotide ribosomal RNA is filed under the name uncultured bacterium. RNAcentral describes it as "bacterial SSU rRNA". It matches the Rfam family "Bacterial small subunit ribosomal RNA", at positions 903 to 1397 of the family's 1533-position model. The record is from RNAcentral.